GACGAACGCUGGCGGCGUGCUUAACACAUGCAAGUCGAACGGUAAGGCCCUUCGGGGUACACGAGUGGCGAACGGGUGAGUAACACGUGGGUGAUCUGCCCUGCACUUCGGGAUAAGCCUGGGAAACUGGGUCUAAUACCGGAUAGGACUCCUGGCUUCAUGGUUGGGGGUGGAAAGCUUUUGCGGUGUGGGAUGGGCCCGCGGGCUAUCAGCUUGUUGGUGGGGUAAUGGCCUACCAAGGCGACGACGGGUAGCCGGCCUGAGAGGGUGACCGGUCACACUCGGACUGAGAUACGGCCCAGACUCCUACGGGAGGCAGCAGUGGGGAAUAUUGCACAAUGGGCGCAAGCCUGAUGCAGCGACGCCGCGUGAGGGAUGACGGCCUUCGGGUUGUAAACCUCUUUCAGCUAUGACGAAGCGCAAGUGACGGUAGUAGCAGAAGAAGGACCGGCCAACUACGUGCCAGCCGCCGCGGUAA
RNAcentral lists this ribosomal RNA (478 nucleotides) under uncultured bacterium. RNAcentral describes it as "partial 16S ribosomal RNA". It matches the Rfam family "Bacterial small subunit ribosomal RNA", at positions 28 to 523 of the family's 1533-position model. The record is from RNAcentral.